UACGAAGGGGGCUAGCGUUGCUCGGAAUUACUGGGCGUAAAGGGCGCGUAGGCGGAUAGUUCAGUUGGGGGUGAAAUCCCGGGGCUCAACCCCGGAACUGCCUUCGAUACUGGGUAUCUUGAGUUCGGAAGAGGUGAGUGGAAUUGCGAGUGUAGAGGUGAAAUUCGUAGAUAUUCGCAGGAACACCAGUGGCGAAGGCGGCUCACUGGUCCGAUACUGACGCUGAGGUGCGAAAGCGUGGGGAGCAAACAGG
Molecule: ribosomal RNA, 253 nt
Filed under: uncultured bacterium
Lineage: Bacteria
Description: partial 16S ribosomal RNA
Rfam family: Bacterial small subunit ribosomal RNA
Source: RNAcentral